UCUCCGGUCAUUGGGGAGUAGUCGCCUUUUGCUUCGGCAAAAGGGCUUGCAUCAACACACUUGAUCCUUCGAUCAUGGUGCAAGCGGUUUCUAACCUGGCAAGACCUUUGACUACACAGCCUUCGGAUUGGUCGGGGAGAUGUGUAGUCAUUGUUCUUGUCCGGCCUAGGAAAUU
This 175-nucleotide small RNA is filed under the name Rugosibacter aromaticivorans. RNAcentral's name for it is "Manganese sequence". It matches the Rfam family "Manganese Mn2+ riboswitch aptamer (yybP-ykoY)". From Rfam's summary of the family: This RNA was originally discovered in E. coli during a large scale screen and was named SraF. The family was later found to exist upstream of related families of protein genes in many bacteria, including the the yybP and ykoK genes in B. subtilis. Lineage: Bacteria; Pseudomonadati; Pseudomonadota; Betaproteobacteria; Nitrosomonadales; Sterolibacteriaceae. The record is from RNAcentral.